UCAGAAGUUGGAGUAAGGGGUGACGGAGUAGUUGCAGAUUGUGGAGAAGGGGGACCUCCAAGGAAGGAAUUGAUGAAUGUGUGGAAGGACAGUCUCAGUAGACACACAAAGCAACAGCUGGAAGAUUCAGCAGCUCCUCACCUCCAGGGAGAUGGAGGUUGGAGUUAGAUUCCUCCCAGGGUACAUGGACUUAGCAAAUACCAAAAGAUUUUUAUCAGAAUUACAGCAGGGCCAUGCCUUAGCUGUAAAAGCACAGACCCAGGAUAAAAAUAAAUGAUGGUAGUACAGUUCAGCCAAUUGAAUAAAAUAGGAAACCAUGAAUUCAUUUAGAUAUAAAUAAAUAAAUUGAAUGUUUGAUGAUGCUUGGAACGGUUACAUAAUUUCAAACUGCCUCUCCCAAAUUACUUUUUAAUCACAAAGUGAAAUAUGUACUCUUGAUGGUGGAAGAACCAAGGAGACACCACCUUCGUCAAAUGGCCCAAGUCAAUCAUUGAUAAUAGGAUGAAGUGAAGUCACAUACUGCCUGAGAGAGUGCUGCACCAAGGUCACAGUGAUACUUUCAUAAUUCUCCUCCCAGAGUUGCACACCUGAAUACGAUGGUGGCCAUAAGAAGACACACUCAGAUUGUGAGAAGUCUUCAAAAGUGUAAAGAUCAUGAAAGUCAAAGACAGACGGAGAAAUUUCACCAUUUAAAGAAAUAUGUCAACUAAUGUUAACAUUUAGUUCUGAAUUGGAUCAUUUUCUAUAAGGAAAUAAGUGAACAACUUGAGAGACUUGAAUUUAGGACUGAGGAUUAGAUGAUAAUGCUGUAUUUUAAAAAAAUAUUUUUUAGUUGUAGAUGGAUACAAUAAUUUUAUUUUAUUAUUAUAUUUUUAUGUGAC
Molecule: long non-coding RNA, 881 nt
Filed under: Marmota monax (woodchuck)
Lineage: Eukaryota; Metazoa; Chordata; Mammalia; Rodentia; Sciuridae
Source: RNAcentral